AGUGAACGCUGGCGGUAGGCCUAACACAUGCAAGUCGAACAGCAGCACAGUAAGAGCUUGCUCUUACGGGUGGCGAGUGGCGGACGGGUGAGGAAUACAUCGGAAUCUACUUUUUCGUGGGUGAUAACGUAGGGAAACUUACGCUAAUACCGCAUACUUCCUACGGGUUAAAGCAGGGGAUCUUCGGACCUUGCGCGAUUGAAUGAGCCGAUGUCGGAUUAGCUAGUUGGCGGGGUAAAGGCCCACCAAGGCGACGAUCCGUAGCUGGUCUGAGAGGAUGAUCAGCCACACUGGAACUGAGACACGGUCCAGACUCCUACGGGAGGCAGCAGUGGGGAAUAUUGGACAAUGGGCGCAAGCCUGAUCCAGCCAUACCGCGUGGGUGAAGAAGGCCUUCGGGUUGUAAAGCCCUUUUGUUGGGAAAGAAAAGCAGCAGGUUAAUACCCCGAUGUUCUGACGGUACCCAAAGAAUAAGCACCGGCUAACUUCGUG
Molecule: ribosomal RNA, 492 nt
Filed under: uncultured bacterium
Lineage: Bacteria
Description: partial 16S ribosomal RNA
Rfam family: Bacterial small subunit ribosomal RNA
Source: RNAcentral